UGAACGCUGGCGGUAUGCUUAACACAUGCAAGUCGAACGGAAACGAUACUAGCUUGCUAGUAGGCGUCGAGUGGCGGACGGGUGAGUAACGCGUAGGAAUCUACCUGAUAGUGGGGGAUAGCCCGAAGAAAUUCGGAUUAAUACCGCAUAAUCUAUUCGUAGUAAAGUGGGGGACUUUCGAGCCUCACGCUAUCAGAUGAGCCUGCGUAAGAUUAGCUAGUUGGUAGGGUAAAAGCCUACCAAGGCUACGAUCUUUAGCUGGUCUGAGAGGAUGAUCAGCCACAUCGGGACUGAGACACGGCCCGAACUCCUACGGGAGGCAGCAGUGGGGAAUAUUGGACAAUGGGGGCAACCCUGAUCCAGCAAUACCGCGUGUGUGAAGAAGGCCUGAGGGUUGUAAAGCACUUUCAAUUGUGAAGAAAAGCUAGUGGUUAAUAGCCAUUAGCCUUGACGUUAACUUUAGAAGAAGCACCGGCUAACUCCGUGCCAGCAGCCGCGGUAAUACGGAGGGUGCAAGCGUUAAUCGGAAUUACUGGGCGUAAAGCGUGCGUAGGCGGUUUAUUAAGUCAGAUGUGAAAGCCCCGGGCUUAACCUGGGAACUGCAUUUGAAACUGGUCAACUAGAGUAUGGUAGAGGAAAGUGGAAUUUCUGGUGUAGCGGUGAAAUGCGUAGAUAUCAGAAAGGAACAUCAAUGGCGAAGGCAACUUUCUGGACCAAUACUGACGCUGAGGUACGAAAGCGUGGGUAGCAAACAGGAUUAGAUACCCUGGUAGUCCACGCCGUAAACGAUGAUAACUAGCCGUUGGGGGGAUUUACCCCUUAGUGGCGAAGCUAACGCGUUAAGUUAUCCGCCUGGGGAGUACGGCCGCAAGGUUAAAACUCAAAGGAAUUGACGGGGACCCGCACAAGCGGUGGAGCAUGUGGUUUAAUUCGAUGCAACGCGAAGAACCUUACCUGGUCUUGACAUCCUGAGAACUUUCUAGAAAUAGAUUGGUGCCUUCGGGAACUCAGUGACAGGUGCUGCAUGGCUGUCGUCAGCUCGUGUCGUGAGAUGUUGGGUUAAGUCCCGUAACGAGCGCAACCCCUAUCCUUAUUUGCCAGCACAUCAUGGUGGGAACUAUAAGGAGACUGCCGGUGAUAAACCGGAGGAAGGCGGGGACGACGUCAAGUCAUCAUGGCCCUUACGACCAGGGCUACACACGUGCUACAAUGGGAAGGACAAAGAGCCGCGAAGCCGCGAGGUGUAGCUAAUCUCAGAAACCUUUUCGUAGUCCGGAUUGGAGUCUGCAACUCGACUCCAUGAAGUCGGAAUCGCUAGUAAUCGUAGAUCAGAAUGCUACGGUGAAUACGUUCCCGGGUCUUGUACACACCGCC
This 1374-nucleotide ribosomal RNA is filed under the name uncultured marine bacterium. Its description in RNAcentral is "16S ribosomal RNA". It matches the Rfam family "Bacterial small subunit ribosomal RNA", at positions 30 to 1394 of the family's 1533-position model. The record is from RNAcentral.